RNAcentral lists this unclassified non-coding RNA (20 nucleotides) under Mus musculus (house mouse). RNAcentral describes it as "oocyte_clustered_small_RNA9191". Lineage: Eukaryota; Metazoa; Chordata; Mammalia; Rodentia; Muridae. The record is from RNAcentral.
UGCAGACAGAAGACCAGUAG